AGAAGAUCAAAUGCAAGUGAGGAAGGCAAAGGAUAUAACCCGAUAUGUGGAAAUGAAGAAACGUCAGUAGAUUGCUUCUCUUAUGGGAUGAGGGAAAAAUUCUGGAGGAAGUCUAAUAGGAAAUCUCAAGAGCUUGAAGCAGCACUCCAGAACAAAAGCAUGAAUGUGUUUUUGCCAGAUGAUAUCCUCGAAAUGUGCUUAUUGAGGCUUCCAUUUAUAAGUCUGGUGAAUGCUAGGAUGGUGUGCAAGAAAUGGAGAAACUUGACACUGACACCUCGUUUCUGGCGAAUGAGGCAGGAAGGUUCAUUCCAGCGUCCAUGGUUGUUUCUUUUUGGAGUUGUAAAAGAUGGUUGUUGUUCCGCAGAAAUACAUGCAUUUGAUGUUUCCUUCAACCAAUGGCACAAAAUGAAUUCUGAAGUUCUGAAAGGGAGGUUUUUAUUCUCUGUUGCUGGUAUCCAUGAUGAUGU
This 467-nucleotide unclassified non-coding RNA is filed under the name Hevea brasiliensis (rubber tree). The record is from RNAcentral. Lineage: Eukaryota; Viridiplantae; Streptophyta; Magnoliopsida; Malpighiales; Euphorbiaceae.